RNAcentral lists this signal recognition particle RNA (308 nucleotides) under Musa acuminata subsp. malaccensis (wild Malaysian banana). RNAcentral's name for it is "Plant signal recognition particle RNA". It matches the Rfam family "Plant signal recognition particle RNA". The record is from Rfam by way of RNAcentral. Lineage: Eukaryota; Viridiplantae; Streptophyta; Magnoliopsida; Zingiberales; Musaceae.
GCCGAGCCCAGUAACGCAGGCUUGUAACCCGAGUGGGGGCAAGGAUGUGGUGGGAUGUUGUGUUCAGCUCUAUUGGGUUGGGUCCGGUGAUUUCCAGACUUGGCUUGCCCGUUCCAAGUCAGGCAGCUUCGCAGUGCGGUCCUGGCGUAGGCCUGAGUCACAUGCGAUUCUAAAGCGGAGGACACCGCGUCAGGCUGGCUUCACAGAGCAGCGAUAACCUCCCUCUCUUGACGGUGGAAGCAUAACAGGCCGAUGCACGCCGCCCCCACCAUACCCAUCGGGCUUACACUGACCAAACCACCACUUUU